Molecule: ribosomal RNA, 372 nt
Filed under: uncultured Spirochaetales bacterium
Lineage: Bacteria; Pseudomonadati; Spirochaetota; Spirochaetia; Spirochaetales
Description: bacterial SSU rRNA
Rfam family: Bacterial small subunit ribosomal RNA
Source: RNAcentral
CCGUUCCCCGUUCGGGGGACAGGGUGACAGGUGGUGCAUGGUUGUCGUCAGCUCGUGUCGUGAGAUGUUGGGUUAAGUCCCGCAACGAGCGCAACCCUCGACCUUAGUUGCCAGCAUUCAGUUGGGCACUCUAAGGUGACUGCCGGCUAAAAGUCGGAGGAAGGUGGGAUGACGUCAAAUCAUCACGCCCCUUACGACCAGGGCCACACACGUACUACAAUGCCCGGUACAGCGAGUUGCGAAGCUGCGAAGCAGAGCUAAUCUCUUAAAACCGGGCCAAGUUCAGAUCGGAGGCUGCAAUUCGCCUCCGUGAAGCUGGAAUCGCUAGUAAACGCAGAUCAUCAUGCUGCGUUGAAUACGUUCUCGGGCCUU